AUACCUGGCAGGGGAGAUACCAUGCUCACGAAGGUGGUUUUUCCCAGGAUGAGGUUUAUGCAUUGCACUGCAGAUGUGUUGACCCCCUGCGAUUUCCCCAAAUGUGGGAAACUCGACUGCAUAAUUUGUGCUAGUGUGGGACUGUGUUCUCGCUCUUUCCUG
Molecule: small nuclear RNA, 162 nt
Organism: Peromyscus maniculatus bairdii (prairie deer mouse)
Lineage: Eukaryota; Metazoa; Chordata; Mammalia; Rodentia; Cricetidae
Gene: U1
Rfam family: U1 spliceosomal RNA
About the family: U1 is a small nuclear RNA (snRNA) component of the spliceosome (involved in pre-mRNA splicing). Its 5' end forms complementary base pairs with the 5' splice junction, thus defining the 5' donor site of an intron.
Source: Ensembl